AUGCCCUCUGAUUUUGAGACUAGUGUUAAAGAAUUUAUGAUUUCCCAAAAGAAUUUCAAUGCUUUGCUUGAGGAGAAAUUGCCUAAGAUUGAUGAGUUGGCUAGGAACGUGGAUAGAAUUUCUCUUGAUGUCGAUUCUUUGAAACUUAGAUCUAUUCCACCUAAGCAUGAUAUCAAUGAGUCUCUCAAAGCUAUGAGGAUUUCCAUUGAUGAGUGCAAAGAAAGAACCGCUAGGAUGCGUGCUAAGAAAGAUUGCCUUGUAAAAGCGUGUUCUUCUAGUUUUCAUGAUAAUAGGGAUGAAGACCUAAAAGUUAUUGAUGUGUCCCAUUUUAAAUCUUUGUUUUGCAAUAUGAAUCUUGAUAAUGAUGGGACUGGAGAUGAGUCAACUUUAGUUAAAAGGCGUCCCAAUGAUUCGGAGUUUUUAGAUCUUGAUGCAAAAAUUGGUAAAAGUGGUAUUGAAGAGGUCAAAACUUUACAUAGCAAUGAACCCACUAUUUUGGAUUUCAAGGAAUUUAGUUAUGAUAAUUGUUCUUUAAUAGAUUGUACUUCCUUGUUGUAA
Molecule: ribosomal RNA, 558 nt
Filed under: Triticum aestivum (bread wheat)
Lineage: Eukaryota; Viridiplantae; Streptophyta; Magnoliopsida; Poales; Poaceae
Description: partial small subunit ribosomal RNA
Source: RNAcentral